GAAAGUAAAAGUCGUAACAAGGUCUCCGUUGGUGAACCAGCGGAGGGAUCAUUAUCGAGUUUAUAACUCCCAAACCCUAUGUGAACUUACCACUUGUUGCUUCGGCGCGCGCUUCGGUGCCGCCGAGGACACUUAAACUCUUUGUUUUUAUAAGCAUUUCUGAGUGGCCGAAAGGCAAAAUACAAAUGAAUCAAAACUUUCAACAACGGAUCUCUUGGUUCUG
Molecule: unclassified non-coding RNA, 223 nt
Filed under: plant metagenome
Description: partial contains small subunit ribosomal RNA, internal transcribed spacer 1, and 5.8S ribosomal RNA
Rfam family: Eukaryotic small subunit ribosomal RNA (bases 1-54)
Source: RNAcentral